GACGAACGCUGGCGGCGUGCUUAACACAUGCAAGUCGAGCGGUAAGGCCCUUUCGGGGGUACACGAGCGGCGAACGGGUGAGUAACACGUGGUGACCUGCCCUCAGCGUCUGGGAUAAGCCUGGGAAACCGGGUCUAAUACCGGAUAUGACUCCAUGACGCAUGUUGUGGGGUGGAAAGCCUUGUGCGGCUGAGGAUGGGCCCGCGGCCUAUCAGCUUGUU
Molecule: ribosomal RNA, 221 nt
Filed under: uncultured bacterium
Lineage: Bacteria
Description: partial 16S ribosomal RNA
Rfam family: Bacterial small subunit ribosomal RNA
Source: RNAcentral